GAUGAACGCUGGCGGCGUGCCUAAUACAUGCAAGUCGAGCGAACGGACGAGAAGCUUGCUUCUCUGAUGUUAGCGGCGGACGGGUGAGUAACACGUGGAUAACCUACCUAUAAGACUGGGAUAACUUCGGGAAACCGGAGCUAAUACCGGAUAAUAUUUUGAACCGCAUGGUUCAAAAGUGAAAGAAGGUCUUGCUGUCACUUAUAGAUGGAUCCGCGCUGCAUUAGCUAGUUGGUAAGGUAACGGCUUACCAAGGCAACGAUGCAUAGCCGACCUGAGAGGGUGAUCGGCCACACUGGAACUGAGACACGGUCCAGACUCCUACGGGAGGCAGCAGUAGGGAAUCUUCCGCAAUGGGCGAAAGCCUGACGGAGCAACGCCGCGUGAGUGAUGAAGGUCUUCGGAUCGUAAAACUCUGUUAUUAGGGAAGAACAUAUGUGUAAGUAACUGUGCACUUCUUGACGGUACCUAAUCAGAAAGCCACGGCUAACUACGUG
Molecule: ribosomal RNA, 497 nt
Filed under: uncultured bacterium
Lineage: Bacteria
Description: partial 16S ribosomal RNA
Rfam family: Bacterial small subunit ribosomal RNA
Source: RNAcentral